Long non-coding RNA from Nomascus leucogenys (northern white-cheeked gibbon), 651 nucleotides. RefSeq lists it as uncharacterized. The record is from RefSeq and is a predicted model, not a curated record. The transcript has 2 exons. NCBI's taxonomy places the organism in Eukaryota, Metazoa, Chordata, Mammalia, Primates, Hylobatidae.
AGAGGGCUGCCCGUCGGCCGGAGACCGAGUUAAGCACCGAGCUGUAAAUCGCUUGAGACCUGUAUUUGGUUGUUUUGUUGGUUUUGCCAAGUAAGGUCACUUGAGGAUAUUUUGGCUCGAGGUCCCAGGCUGCGCAGACUGCAUCGAGUUGAGAAUUUUGGUCAGAAUGUUAAAGGGGAAACCUACCCCAGGCUGUCGUGACUUUUGCAUUCUGGUAACCAACUGAUCCUACCCGGACCCAUGAUGCAUAACUCAGCUGGUCCUGUGGCGCACACCCAGAGGCCGACUUAAUGCAUGGAGACUGUUUUCCACACCCCUAUGAUUUCAUCCCCAACCAAGCAGCAGCAUCCAUUCCCUAGCCCCCUGCCCACCAAAUUAUCCAUAAAAACUCUGGCUUCUGAGUUCUCAGCAAAACUGAUUUGAGUAAUAACUCCAGUUCUUCCACUUGACUGGCCUUAGUUAAUUAAACUUAUUCUUUACUAUAAUACCGUGUUCCCAGUGAAUUGGUUUUGUCUGUGUAGCAGGCAGGAUGAACCCAUCAGGCAAUCACACAGUUACUGUGCAGUGUUUCUUUUUAUUUUGCUUUUCAAACAAAUUUCAAAUAUUAUUAGAUUGAAAUAAACUAUACAAAAUAGCUUUUCCUCACAAAAA